RNAcentral lists this ribosomal RNA (253 nucleotides) under uncultured bacterium. RNAcentral describes it as "partial 16S ribosomal RNA". It matches the Rfam family "Bacterial small subunit ribosomal RNA", at positions 524 to 776 of the family's 1533-position model. The record is from RNAcentral.
UACGUAGGGGGCAAGCGUUGUCCGGAAUCAUUGGGCGUAAAGCGCGUGUAGGCGGUUCAGUAAGUCUGCUGUGAAAGUCCAGGGCUCAACCCUGGGAUGCCGGUGGAUACUGCUGGGCUAGAGUACGGAAGAGGCGAGUGGAAUUCCCGGUGUAGCGGUGAAAUGCGCAGAUAUCGGGAGGAACACCAAUAGCGAAGGCAGCUCGCUGGGACGUUACUGACACUAAGGCGCGAAAGCGUGGGGAGCGAACAGG